UGGGGAAUUUUGGGCAAUGGGGGAAACCCUGACCCAGCAACGCCGCGUGAAGGAUGAAGUAUUUCGGUAUGUAAACUUCGAAAGAAUAGGAAGAAUAAAUGACGGUACUAUUUAUAAGGUCCGGCUAACUACGUGCCAGCAGCCGCGGUAAUACGUAGGGACCAAGCGUUGUUCGGAUUUACUGGGCGUAAAGGGCGCGUAGGCGGCAAUUCAAGUCAUCUGUGAAAUCUCCGGGCUUAACUCGGAACGGUCAGAUGAUACUGCUUUGCUAGAGUGCAGAAGGGGCAAUCGGAAUUCUUGGUGUAGCGGUGAAAUGCGUAGAUAUCAAGAGGAACACCUGAGGUGAAGACGGGUUGCUGGGCUGACACUGACGCUGAGGCGCGAAAGCCAGGGGAGCAAACGGGAUUAGAUACCCCCGUAGUCCCUGAGCGGGCUGGCAAGGCGCAU
RNAcentral lists this ribosomal RNA (447 nucleotides) under uncultured bacterium. Its description in RNAcentral is "bacterial SSU rRNA". It matches the Rfam family "Bacterial small subunit ribosomal RNA", at positions 355 to 825 of the family's 1533-position model. The record is from RNAcentral.